RNAcentral lists this ribosomal RNA (402 nucleotides) under Triticum aestivum (bread wheat). RNAcentral describes it as "partial small subunit ribosomal RNA". Lineage: Eukaryota; Viridiplantae; Streptophyta; Magnoliopsida; Poales; Poaceae. The record is from RNAcentral.
AUGAGCGGGGCAAUAAUGACGCAUGGGGAAUCGAGGUCGGGGGAUCCGAACCCUCGUGGUUUAAAUACCAUAGGGAUGGGAUGGGAGGAAGCGUCUUCCCCUCCCUGUUCUUCCCCACGGCCGCCGGCGCCCAGAGCUUCGACCUAUCCAGGAGUCAUCCUCAGAACCCGCCACCUGUUCGACGAAAUGCACAAGAAGGCUGUUGACACAGGCAUGGAUCCUUUCCGCGUCCUCUCCGACGAUGUGCUCGAGCACAUCCUUUCCCUUCUGUCGGGGGAUGAAGCCUACAGACUUGCGUGCUCGGUACCCAGUGGCGUGACAUCUGGAGGCGUAAAACCAGCUUGUGCUUCAUCUUUGAGAACUGGUCAAGUUUUAGUCGCGAGCGUUUCAAUAAAUUGGUGA